Molecule: ribosomal RNA, 532 nt
Filed under: Lactiplantibacillus plantarum
Lineage: Bacteria; Bacillati; Bacillota; Bacilli; Lactobacillales; Lactobacillaceae
Description: bacterial SSU rRNA
Source: RNAcentral
UUUACAUUUGAGUGAGUGGCGAACUGGUGAGUAACACGUGGGAAACCUGCCCAGAAGCGGGGGAUAACACCUGGAAACAGAUGCUAAUACCGCAUAACAACUUGGACCGCAUGGUCCGAGYUUGAAAGAUGGCUUCGGCUAUCACUUUUGGAUGGUCCCGCGGCGUAUUAGCUAGAUGGUGGGUAACGGCUCACCAUGGCAAUGAUACGUAGCCGACCUGAGAGGGUAAUCGGCCACAUUGGGACUGAGACACGGCCCAAACUCCUACGGGAGGCAGCAGUAGGGAAUCUUCCACAAUGGACGAAAGUCUGAUGGAGCAACGCCGCGUGAGUGAAGAAGGGUUUCGGCUCGUAAAACUCUGUUGUUAAAGAAGAACAUAUCUGAGAGUAACUGUUCAGGUAUUGACGGUAUUUAACCAGAAAGCCACGGCUAACUACGUGCCAGCAGCCGCGGUAAUACGUAGGUGGCAAGCGUUGUCCGGAUUUAUUGGGCGUAAAGCGAGCGCAGGCGGUUUUUUAAGUCUGAUGUGAAA